RNAcentral lists this ribosomal RNA (807 nucleotides) under uncultured bacterium. RNAcentral describes it as "bacterial SSU rRNA". It matches the Rfam family "Bacterial small subunit ribosomal RNA", at positions 8 to 796 of the family's 1533-position model. The record is from RNAcentral.
AGAGUUUGAUCAUGGCUCAGAAUGAACGCUGGCGGCGUGCUUAACACAUGCAAGUCGUGCGCGAAGGCAGCUUCGGCUGCCGGAGAGCGGCGAACGGGUGAGUAACACGUGGGUAAUCUGCCUGGGGGUGGGGGAUAACCUGGGGAAACUCGGGCUAAUACCGCAUACGUUGGCGAGGUCACGGCCUUGCCAGGAAAGCUGGCCUCUGCUUGCAAGCUAGCGCUCCCAGAGGAGCCCGCGGCUGAUUAGCUAGUUGGUGGGGUAAAAGCCCACCAAGGCGACGAUCAGUAGCCGGCCUGAGAGGGUGAUCGGCCACACUGGGACUGAGACACGGCCCAGACUCCUACGGGAGGCAGCAGUGGGGAAUAUUGGACAAUGGGCGCAAGCCUGAUCCAGCAACGCCGCGUGGAGGACGAAGGUCUUCGGAUCGUAAACUCCUGUCAGGCGGGACGAAGGUCUGGGGGUGAAUAAUCUCCAGGCUUGACGGUACCGUCAGAGGAAGCCCCGGCUAACUCCGUGCCAGCAGCCGCGGUAAUACGGAGGGGGCGAGCGUUAUUCGGAAUUAUUGGGCGUAAAGGGCGCGUAGGCGGCACGACGUGUCCAAGGUGAAAUCCCUCGGCUCAACUGAGGAACUGCCUUGGAAACUGUCGAGCUUGAGGCCGGGAGGGGAGCGGAAUUCCCCAGUGUAGCGGUGAAAUGCGUAGAUAUUGGGAGGAACACCAGUGGCGAAGGCGGCUACCUGGACCGGUUCUGACGCUGAUGCGCGAAAGCGUGGGUAGCAAACAGGAUUAGAUACCCUAGUAGUCC